AAUAGAUACCCUGGUAGUCCACGCCGUAAACGUUGGGUACUAGGUGUGGCGUCCCGAUUAACGGAUGCCGUGCCGAAGCUAACGCAUUAAGUACCCCGCCUGGGGAGUACGGCCGCAAGGCUAAAACUCAAAGGAAUUGACGGGUCCCCGCACAAGCGGCGGAGCAUGCGGCUUAAUUCGAUGCAACCCGAAGAACCUUACCUGGACUUGACAUCAUGGGAAAAGCCGUAGAAAUACGGUGUCCGUAAGGGCCCAUGACAGGUGGUGCAUGGCUGUCGUCAGCUCGUGUCGUGAGAUGUUGGGUUAAGUCCCGCAACGAGCGCAACCCUUGUCCUAUGUUGCCAGCACGUUAUGGUGGGGACUCAUAGGAGACCGCCGGGGACAACUCGGAGGAAGGUGAGGACGACGUCAAGUCAUCAUGCCCCUUAUGUCCAGGGCUGCACGCAUGCUACAAUGGCCGGUACAAUAGGCAGCGAACUCGCGAGGGUGAGCGAAUCCUUUAAAGCCGGCCUCAGUUCGGAUUGGAGU
Molecule: ribosomal RNA, 528 nt
Filed under: uncultured bacterium
Lineage: Bacteria
Description: bacterial SSU rRNA
Rfam family: Bacterial small subunit ribosomal RNA
Source: RNAcentral